This 769-nucleotide ribosomal RNA is filed under the name Spalangia erythromera. RNAcentral describes it as "SSU rRNA". It matches the Rfam family "Eukaryotic small subunit ribosomal RNA", at positions 477 to 1209 of the family's 1831-position model. Lineage: Eukaryota; Metazoa; Arthropoda; Insecta; Hymenoptera; Spalangiidae. The record is from RNAcentral.
ACGAUACGGGACUCAUCCGAGGCCCCGUAAUCGGAAUGAGUACACUUUAAAUCCUUCAACGAGGAUCCAUUGGAGGGCAAGUCUGGUGCCAGCAGCCGCGGUAAUUCCAGCUCCAAUAGCGUAUAUUAAAGUUGUUGCGGUUAAAAAGCUCGUAGUUGAAUCUGUGUGCCACGCUGUCGGUUCAUCGCUCGCGAUGUUUAACUGACAUGAUUGUGGGACGUCCUACCGGUGGACUUAGCCCUUCGGGGCGGUCCAGCUAAUAUCCCAUCGCGGUGCUCUUUAUCGAGUGUCGAGGUGGGCCGGUACGUUUACUUUGAACAAAUUAGAGUGCUCAAAGCAGGCUAUGUUCGCCUGAAUACUGUGUGCAUGGAAUAAUGGAAUAGGACCUCGGUUCUAUUUUGUUGGUUUUCGGAACCCCGAGGUAAUGAUUAAUAGGGACAGAUGGGGGCAUUCGUAUUGCGACGUUAGAGGUGAAAUUCUUGGAUCGUCGCAAGACGGACAGAAGCGAAAGCAUUUGCCAAAAAUGUUUUCAUUAAUCAAGAACGAAAGUUAGAGGUUCGAAGGCGAUCAGAUACCGCCCUAGUUCUAACCAUAAACGAUGCCAGCUAGCGAUCCGCCGAUGUUCCUUCUAUGACUCGGCGGGCAGCUUCCGGGAAACCAAAGCUUUUGGGUUCCGGGGGAAGUAUGGUUGCAAAGCUGAAACUUAAAGGAAUUGACGGAAGGGCACCACCAGGAGUGGAGCCUGCGGCUUAAUUUGACUCAACACGGG